Molecule: long non-coding RNA, 516 nt
Filed under: Homo sapiens (human)
Lineage: Eukaryota; Metazoa; Chordata; Mammalia; Primates; Hominidae
Description: HSALNT0131809
Source: RNAcentral
AGUUCCCUUCCUGCGGCGUCCUCCACACCCGGGGUCUGCUGGUCUCCGCGGAUGUCACAGGCUCGGCAACCGCCCUCCUGUCGGCGGGGAGUCCCGCGACGCCCGGAAAUGCUCCGAAGCCUGUCGCCCAGCUGCCAGAUCUGCGUCUGUGUCCGGUUCCGUCACUGAGAUUUGUCUUCUUAGUGCUUGGAUGGUGUGAGUGAAAACCCAGAGGAAUACAUUUGGUGGCUGAGCUAGUACAAUGCCAUCACCGACUUCACUCAAGAAGAGUGGGCCCUGCUGGACACAUCCCAGAGAAAGCUGUUUCAAGAUGUGAUGUUGGAGAACAUCAGUCAUCUGGUCUCUAUUGGCAAACAGCUCUGCAAAUCAGUUGUGCUUUCCCAAUUGGAGCAAGUAGAGAAACUUUCAACACAAAGAAUAAGCUUACUGCAAGGUAGAGAAGUUGGCAUUAAACAUCAAGAGAUACCAUUCAUUCAACAUAUCUAUCAGAAGGGCACGUCCACCAUCAGCACAAUG